This 429-nucleotide ribosomal RNA is filed under the name Actinomycetes bacterium. RNAcentral describes it as "Actinobacteria bacterium partial 16S ribosomal RNA". It matches the Rfam family "Bacterial small subunit ribosomal RNA", at positions 355 to 776 of the family's 1533-position model. The record is from RNAcentral. Lineage: Bacteria; Bacillati; Actinomycetota; Actinomycetes.
UAGGGAAUCUUCCGCAAUGGGCGAAAGCCUGACGGAGCAACGCCGCGUGAGUGAUGAAGGUCUUCGGAUCGUAAAACUCUGUUAUUAGGGAAGAACAAAUGUGUAAGUAACUAUGCACGUCUUGACGGUACCUAAUCAGAAAGCCACGGCUAACUACGUGCCAGCAGCCGCGGUAAUACGUAGGUGGCAAGCGUUAUCCGGAAUUAUUGGGCGUAAAGCGCGCGUAGGCAGUUUUUUAAGUCUGAUGUGAAAGCCCACGGCUCAACCGUGGAGGGUCAUUGGAAACUGGAAAACUUGAGUGCAGAAGAGGAAAGUGGAAUUCCAUGUGUAGCAGUGAAAUGCGCAGAGAUAUGGAGGAACACCAGUGGCGAAGGCGACUUUCUGGUCUGUAACUGACGCUGAUGUGCGAAAGCGUGGGGAUCAAACAGG